Cyanobacteria bacterium 13_1_20CM_4_61_6 is the source of this 111-nucleotide non-coding RNA. The record is from Rfam. Lineage: Bacteria; Bacillati; Cyanobacteriota.
AAAGUCGUCAUAGCGGAGAUGUCUAGCGAAUCCAUCCUGGCCUCGAGUCUUGCAGGCGACAUCGCGAGAUGCUGCUUGAAGCGUAGACAGAGGUAUCUUCCCACUUGAACC